GCUAGGUGUGGUGGCCCACGCCUAUAAUCCUAGCCUCUUGGGAGGCUGAGGCAAGAGGAUUUCGAGUUUGAAGCCAGCCUUAGCAAUAGAGAGGCACUAAGCAACUCAGUGAGAUCCUGUCUCUA
Molecule: small RNA, 125 nt
Filed under: Marmota monax (woodchuck)
Lineage: Eukaryota; Metazoa; Chordata; Mammalia; Rodentia; Sciuridae
Source: RNAcentral